RNAcentral lists this ribosomal RNA (362 nucleotides) under Ehrlichia canis. RNAcentral's name for it is "bacterial SSU rRNA". It matches the Rfam family "Bacterial small subunit ribosomal RNA", at positions 64 to 437 of the family's 1533-position model. Lineage: Bacteria; Pseudomonadati; Pseudomonadota; Alphaproteobacteria; Rickettsiales; Anaplasmataceae. The record is from RNAcentral.
ACAAUUAUUUAUAGCCUCUGGCUAUAGGAAAUUGUUAGUGGCAGACGGGUGAGUAAUGCGUAGGAAUCUACCUAGUAGUACGGAAUAGCCAUUAGAAAUGGUGGGUAAUACUGUAUAAUCCCCGAGGGGGAAAGAUUUAUCGCUAUUAGAUGAGCCUACGUUAGAUUAGCUAGUUGGUGAGGUAAUGGCUUACCAAGGCUAUGAUCUAUAGCUGGUCUGAGAGGACGAUCAGCCACACUGGAACUGAGAUACGGUCCAGACUCCUACGGGAGGCAGCAGUGGGGAAUAUUGGACAAUGGGCGAAAGCCUGAUCCAGCUAUGCCGCGUGAGUGAAGAAGGCCUUCGGGUUGUAAAACUCUUUC